RNAcentral lists this long non-coding RNA (8040 nucleotides) under Capsicum annuum. Its description in RNAcentral is "long non-coding RNA (CANN_LNC019615)". The record is from RNAcentral. Lineage: Eukaryota; Viridiplantae; Streptophyta; Magnoliopsida; Solanales; Solanaceae.
UCUAUCUUAAAAAUAUUUUAUGAUGUCAAAAGAGGAAAGUACAUACUUGUGUAAUAUUUAUAACCCAUUUGGUUCGACUUGAUCCUCUAAUGUGUUUCUUCUUAUGUCUUUCUUAAGAUACUGACAUGUCAUAGGUUGAACUCAGUAUACAAGCAUCAAUGGUUUGUUAUCAUUAAAAAAGGGAGAAUUUAUUGGGUUCAAGUAUGUCUUGGAGAUUGACAAAAUAGUGGAAAACAUAUAUGAAAUAGGUCGAUGCGACAUAAUCUUGCAGAAAGAAAAUUCAUAAAUAUACAAACUCAAGCAUAUCCAAGAUAUAAGUCCAUAAAAUCAAGCAUCCAAGCAAGAUGAGAGUACUUGUAAAGAAAGAAUUUUUAUGAACUGGGACAAAUCAAAUCUAGAUGAGGAAUCUCGAAACACACAGGCUCAAGCAUUCUAGCAAGAUAGAAGUCCUUAUCACGAAAGAAUUAUUGUUGGAGUCAGAUUGAUUUUGAUGAUUGAUAAAGCUGAGGAACAUAUGUAAGGAGCAAGUUGAUACUAUAUAUUCCUUUCAGUCCGAGUCUAACUAGUACAAGGUGAAGGUCAACCAAGUAAAGUUUGAAAUAAUAAAGGCAUAGAAGCACGUGAAUGGAGCAUGUAAAAGUUGGGAAUCCUGCUUGUAUGAAGUUCCCUUUAAUAGAGGAAUUCUAUAUGGCAAAGAGUCUUAAAAAGGUUGACAAAUAAAAUCCUAAAAGGAAAGGGAUUCCUUAUUAGGAGAGAAGUUUGCUUGCAGAAGGAGAAGUCUCACAACUAUAAAUAAAGAGAUGGUUUCACAAAGAACUUUGCAUACUUAUAGAGAGAAACAUGGAUGAACACAAUCAAAUUGAGCGAGUUCAUAUUUGAGAGAGUUCUGAUGAGUUUUGACUGAAGAUCCAUGUGAUGCUAGUACAAAGAGAUAGAUUGACGAACCUUUCCAUAGAAUUAGGCAUUACAGUUCAUGAGUCAAUUUUAUGAGUCAGUUUUGAUGUAUUAUUCUAUUGAGUUGUAAUUUAUUUCUUUCCUAAUCUUUUUUAGCAACAAUAUUGAGUUGAGUUAACUUCAAGUUGGGAUAACUUGAAGUAGGUUCAAUACUCAAAGGUGAUUACUGAGUUAUAGGAAAUUAUAGACGUUAUAAUUCAACUGUUGAGUUAUAGGUUUAUAAUUCGUUGUUAUUGAGGUAUAGGAAUUAGAGUUUAUAAUUCCAAGUUGUUGAGGAAUAGGAAUUAGAGUUACGUUAUAAUUCUCAGCUAUUGAGUUAUAGUUUUAUAAUGUUGGAAAUUGCUUAAGUUACUGCACUAGUUUUUAGCAAAAUAAGUUAGUUAAUUUAGGAUGAAUUUGAAUUUUGAAUUUAAGUUAGGUUGUUUGAUUUGUUGAGACAUUUUAGUUAGUUUAAAUUUUGAAUGUUGCUGGUAUUUCUAUUGUAAGGUGGCUAUUUAAAGCACCUUGAUGUUCAAUAAAAUCAUUGAAUACUAUUGAAAGCUAUUGAAAGUUAUUCAAUACAUUGAGAGUCAUUUUAACCCCCUUUUCGCUGCCCCAUCUUUCUUUAAAAAAACCAACAUAUAAUUCCUUGUUAUUGAGGUAUAGAAAUUAGAGUUUAUGAUUUCUAAGAUUACAAGCUUUAUAAUAGAAACUUUCGAAGGCUUAUUGUUUUAGAGGAGUUAGGUUAAAUCCUGUAGAAGUGUAGGUCGUGAUUGUUUAUCCCUUGUGAACCGUGGUUUCAUGAUAAAAUAUAAUGUUGUUAAAAUAUAAUGUUGUUACUUUAAGACACCAUACUUUCUACGUAAUCGCACCAGGUUCAACUAUGUGUUUCUUUAAGCUGGAAAAUUGCCAAGUCAAUUUUCCAAUUGCCUUUUCUUUGUAAGUGUGUGAGUGACUGUGCAAGUCACUCCCUCUAUUUAAACACAACUAUCCAAAAAUUCCUUCAUCAGAUGUGACUUCUAUCUCAAGUGAAACUCUCUACUCUUCGGUGUUUGUUGUGAAGUAGAAGUCCUUCUUGAAGUUGAUCUUCUUGUUGAAGUAGAACUUCUUCAACUCAACCUCUCUUAUCUUUAAGUGUUGUAAUCAAGCUUAUUCACUUCAUCUUCACACAUGAUAGUUAAGUAGAGUUUAUCACCUUCACCAUCUUAUCUACUUCAUUAAUCUUGUCUUUAUCCUGUCCUGCUGCUCCUUCAUCACAUUGCAGGUUUAUUAGCUUGCAGCUGAUGAUCCAGCUGACACAACAUGUUUCAUUCAUUUUAUCAUUCAUCAAAACUUCAACACUCUAACAAAUUCUGUCCUUUUUAUGAUGACAAACCUCUUUAUUUGUGCACCCAGUAUUGUUACCUGUAGAUACUUACUAUAAAAUCCACUUGAAUGAAACAUGUUAGUUGGGUUAUAAGCAUUGCAUAAUCCUGUUAUCUUCCCCUCCUUUUGCAUCAUUGAAAAGCUAAACACACACUUCAGAGCAAAAACUUAAGUUAAACUACUUAUGGCCACUUGGGCUAUCAGCAAGGCAAUAAAACAUAUCAAUUAAAAUAAAAGAGCAAUCACACUGAGCAGUACUAGAAGACAAUUAAGCAAACUAAAAUUCCAUUACUUUCAUUACCAAGAUAAAGGCAUCACACACUAAACAAAACUCCAAAAAAAUAAACAUCCCUGAGCAUAGGAGAACAAAAGCAAAAAAGAACUUAGGGUUCUAAGACAAUGACUAAUCAGACAGAUGGACCUGGCAGAAUUAGCUGAGUCAGCCUAUGAAUAAUAGCAGAACUGGUGGAUUUUUUUUUGGGCUAGUUCAUUCUACAAUUCAGCAAUCCUAACCCUAAGUGUAGCAGUCUCCUGAGAAUAGGCAAUCCUAAUAUCCUCCAGCUCUUUAAAUUUCUCUUUCAAAGCAUUUUGAGCCUGUUGAAGUAGAGUGUUUGCUCAUUUCAUUAACUCAGGAAGAGAGGAGUAAUGAACUCUGCCAAGGACAUCUUUGGUGGUUUGAAAUUCCCACAAAAGAAUUGGAAUAUUAUCCUCCUCAAAGAUUUGCCUAAGCCAAAACCCAUAUGCCAAGGAAUAACCAUGUUCAUCCUGAUGGAGCAUACGAUUUAUGUGUUUCAAAAUUAGCCUAGGGAGGUAAAUUUUAACCUCAAAAUCUAGUAGCUCUAUCAAAUUCAUAUCCACAUAAUUCACCUCAACUCUCUCCUCUUUUCUGUGUAGAAUGAUUUUAUGUACUACAUCAAAGUAGAGCUGAUGUAGUGGGGACAUUUCUUAAUUUUUUUACUGGACGAUUGUGAGAGAGAGUACGCUACUCUAAGAAUUUUCUAGUGAUUUCUAGGGUUGUGGGUAGGUUAUGGAGAAGAGGCCACUCAUACUUCAUAUAGUGACUCCAACCCUCAUAAGGAAUGUCUAAAAUAUGAGGCACAUCAUCAUAAAUAAGCUUAAUCUAAACCCCAAGCACAGAGGAAGAAAACACAAAACCAUAAAACCUUCCAUUUACACAGAAUUCAGUUAUCUCCUUCUUGGCUAACUUUUGUUGAAUGGUGCCUUAUAGGAAAAAUUCUCAAUACCCUUGAGCAAUAAUUUUGGUAAAAAGAAAAGACAUUUCUGGCCCUCUAAACCUAGAGACAACUCAUCCUCUCACCACUUUUUGCUUUUGAAAUUUGAUUACACAGUUAAGAUAAGAGGAAGUAGGCUUAGAAAGAGCAGUGAAGUGAGGGAGGGAAAGAUUGAGGAAUGGAUGAAACAGGUCAAGUGACCUAUUUUUUUGGAGUGCAAAGGGAGGGUUUGCAUUUUUCUAAAAUCUUUGGUACAGAGCGAGUAAUUUUCUUUUGAGGUAGGUUAGAGGAGGAUAAAGAUCUGGUGGAAAGAAAAGUGGAGGGUUUAGGUAUAAUGUCCUUCACUUUUUCUCCAUGAAUAACAUAACUAAGAAGUAAUCCAUCGUUAUUAUUAGAGAAGGCUGCUUCCAAAGAAGGAGAACCAACAGGCAUGGGGUGUUUUUUUUUUACUAGCCCUCAAAUUUUUCUCAAGAACAUUUUCCUCUUACCUUUUCCCUAUUAAGCGGGAGUUAUCUUAGGAACAAGUGUGCUUAUGGGUUCCUCAAGGAUCUCUUCCCCAGGCAUAAGAAAUGAGGCUCCAUAGAUUUUCUUAAUUCUGGAUUUGGACCUUUUUGGGUUUUGGUUAGACGUAGGAUGAGUUUUAGAUAUAUGGAUCUUAAUAGGAAUGAUAUCUUGAACUUGUUCCAAUCGAUGACGACUGAAUAAGUUAACCAGAGCUUUAAAUUCAUUCUAAACAACAAAAUCAAAUAGUUUAAAAGUUGGAACGAAUGGAGUUUGAGGAAGGGAAGAGAUGAAUGCAACAAGUUCCAGGGAAGGGGAUGGAGAAUGAGUUGAUUUUUUAUCAAUUUUAGAAGAGAACUGAGAAGAUGAAGAUGCCAUAGUAGUAGAGGUUUCUGGAAACUUGAGGUAAGAGUAAAGAAGUGAGAAAGAUUAGUGAUAGAAUGAGGAUUAAAUAAAAGAGAAAUUCAUAUGAAUGUAGGUGAAGUGGAAGAGUUUUACUAGGAUAGACUUAGUUGACUGAAGAUGGGAACUGAUUUGAUAGGCGGUGGCAAUUUUUUGUGUGGAAAUGAGAUUUUUCAAAAUUUUAGCAGUUAAGGAAUAUAAAGAGAGGCAUUUAAAAAAAGGACUAGAUAUGCUUAAGUGUUACAUCUCAAUUAGGAUUUAGGCUAGAUGUGUGAUAUAUACCUUUGGAUAAUGUCAGCAUGGAUUCUUAGUGUGCCUCAUUUCUAUCCUAAAAUUCACAUAGAUGAUCUACAAUAAUAAAAAUUGUUAGGAAUUGGACUUGAGACACAACUAAAUGUGCAAGAAUGAAUAGAUUAAUAAUUUUUCCAGUAAUAUUAAUGUAAAAGUAUUAUUCUAACCAAUCAUUGAGGGUGAUUUAUGCAAUUUUAGUCAUUCCCAAGUCUAGCCUGUUCUUUUCAAAGUGUUCCCUACUAAAGGCCUUGGUAAAAGUAUCUGCAAUUUGAUCUUCAGUAGAACAAAACAUUAAAGAGAUAAGACCUUUUUUACAUUUUCCCUAAGGAAAUAAUGUCUUAUAUUAAUGUGUUUAGUUUUUUUGUGUUGCACAAGAUUUUUAACAAUAUUGAUGGCACUAGUAUUAUCACAGAAAAUUGGAACACACCCAACAUCCAUACCAAAAUCCUUGAGUUGUUUCUUAAUCCACAACAAUUGAUUACAACAAGAUCCAUCAACAAUAUACUCAACUUUGACAGUUGUGAGACCCCGAGAAUCCCAAUCGAUAGUAGAACCAUGCUUCAAACUCAUGAGAAAUAAAUUUUUAGUGAUUUGAUAAUUUUAUGAUCUAGUUUGAUGUAUAUUAAGGCCUCAAGUACGUCCUAUCUAUUAGGCGAAUCAAAACAUCCCUUAUCGAUUGAAUUCUUGAGAAGGAUAUUGCCAUAGUCAACUUCAAAUGAGUAUACAUUUCAUUUUAUAAAGAAUUUUUCAUAUCAUGACCAACCAACAGAUAGAUAAUUUAAUUAUCUUUCCAACAAUACCAAUUUUGUCAAAAUCUGAUAUCGGAGUAAAAAGUUAUGGCCGUUUUACAGUGAGCUGUUCGGGCUGCCAAAGUGCGAUGGGAAGGGGUUGAAGGGUCGGUCCCUCCCCAGGGCGACGUUCGUCGCCCAAACCAUCGUGGACCUCCGUUUAGCGAUUUUAAGUCGUUUUUAAAAAGGAUUUUUGGGUCUUUUCCACCCUUUUUAACACCUAAUUGCAUCAAAUCAAAGCACAUAACUCCUCAUUCAUCCUCAACAUCAAAAUUAGGGUUUUUUUCAAGAUCAUUCCCCUAUAACAAGAUCCAAACCCUUCUUCAAGAAACUAAGAAAUUCAAGUUCUUCAAGUUCAAGAACCAUUAAGAAAACAUCAAGAUCUGUGUUUUCUCAAUCCAAGAACGUUCAAUAAACAUUAGUUGUCUUUUAAGAUUCAAGAUUUUGAGGUAUGUUAGAUAUUCAUUCAUGGGUCCCUUUCUCCCAUGAAGUCAAAGAAUCCGUUUUUAAAGCUUCAAGAAUUAUAAUUCUUCAUUUAGAUGUAUAAAAUUGGAUUGUGUUCAUGUUUUAAAAUUAUUUGAGUUUAAAUCCAUGAUUAUCGGUAGAUUCCACGAAGUUGAAUAGUACAUAUGUUGAAUUGAGUAAUACCCAUGUUAUAAUCCAUGAAUUUGCAAGAUUGAUCAUUGUAGUUGCCAUGAUUAUGUGUUAUCCACAACUUAGAUUACAAAUUCUAAGAUUUGAUCCUAGUAUGUUAUGAUUUGCAUGAUGUUCAUGAUAAACCACUUUAAGUUGCAAGUUUAUUGAUGUAGUCAUGAUAUUUAGGUGUAGUAAUUGUUGUACAACCAAAGCAUACUCCCCAUAUGUUUGAUAAAAUGCCUAUGUGAGUGAAAUAGUGCCAUUAUAGCAUGUUAAUAUGUAAAUCCUAUUCAUGUAUAAGUUGAUGCAUGCUAAGUGUUUGAUGAAAGACUUUAUUGAUUGAAUCAUGAGACAUUAGUAUGCAUUCCUAUUCAUGUGCAAGUGUAUGACUUUCAAGUGCUUGAAGAUAUGCCCCAUUUAUUGUAUUGUGAAUGAUAGAAUAUUGUCAUUUUGUUUAAGAAUCGUCAUGUUUUAUUCUUAUUUAUGCUAUUGAGUCCUGGGGGUAUUUAAUACCUGAUAAUUUAGUUGAUUGUCUAGAGCUAGUGUCAGUUUUUAAGAUAAUCCUAGUCGUAUUCUCAGUCAGUUACCGUAUUUGGUAGAACUCAGUCAGCUUCAUGACUUAGGAAAGUUAAGUAAUCUCAGUAACAUCCCAGUCCAAUUCAGUAAUCAAUUCAGAACUCAGUAGCAUUCAGUCAGCUAAUAGAACUCAGUAGUAUUUUGACAGUCAAUGGAACUCAGUGAACUCAGCUCAACUCAGAUAAUCAGUAUGAUCAGUAAAAGAUUCAGCUCAGUUUAGUACAACCUAAGAAUCAGAUCAGUGUCUAUUCAGUUGGGAGUAGAAUUUAGCACCGAGUGAGGGCAGGGAUGACGGCUUCCCUGUUAGUUAGGCAGAGUCGUUAGUAGCAGUUCCUGUACUCUAGAAUUGUAUAGCCAGUGCAGGAUGAGGAGUUAUUCAUUAUACUAAGGUUUGACUACCUCCCAGGAGUCACCCGUUAGAUUAGGCUUGGCUCCGGCCAGGUGUCACCCAUUAGAUUAGGCUUGGUAUCUUAGUCUUAGAAGUUGUCUUUACCCAUGGCACGGUACUGACACCUUUCCAGCUGGGGUUACAGGUUGGACCCUACUAGUUUAGAUUCGGGGCAUGUCGCUUAGAUGGCUACCUCCUACAGUUUUAGUCUUAGUCUUCAGAAGAAAAAUCAGAUCAGUAUUACAGAAAUCAGACUGUUAGAUACAGUCACUCAAACUUGUAAAGAACUUAGAUAGUUCCAUAGAUCCAGAGAUCACCCGGUAGAUAGGCUUGAUCUCAGAUACAGUUAAUCAUUUUCAUUAUUAAUAGAUUUAGAGAUCACCUGCUAGAUAGGCCUGAUCUCAGAUUUAUUUAAGCAGUAUCAAUAUUAGUAGAUUCUAGGAUCACCCGCUAGAUAGGCCUGAUCUCAAUGGUCACUCGUUAGAUAAGAUUAACCCCAUAACAGUUAUUAGUAAGCUCAGACUCAGUUAUUAGUAAUCCAGUUAUUAGAACUCAGUAUUCACUAUUACUACAAUUUUAGUUAUAGUUUAGGCAUUCAUGCAUCUAUUCUCAUUCAGUAGUCCUAUGUUAUUCAGUCAGUAUUGUUCAUGCAUGUGAACCUUUGCAUUCAUCCUUACCUCAUCUAGCGUACCAGUACAUUCCCAUAUACUGACACAUACUUUUCUUUUGCGCUAUGGUAUUUUAUACCAUAGGUUCAGAAGCACGAGUUCCAGAGCACCCUUAGUAGUUCAGAUCCAGCCAGCAACAGUAGACUUAGUAGUGAGUCUUCAUCAUACGAGGAUGAUCUUUAUUUUAUUAUUGCAUUAGAUUUAGCAUUUUAGUAGAUGGAGUUAGUUGGGAGAUUGUCCCAUCAACUCCCUAUUCAGAC